UUUUAUUUGAGAGUUUGAUCCUGGCUCAGGAUGAACGCUGGCGGCGUGCCUAACACAUGCAAGUUGAGCGAUUUACUUCGGUAAAGAGCGGCGGACGGGGGAGUAACGCGUGGGUAACCUACCCUGUACACACGGAUAACAUACCGAAAGGUAUGCUAAUACGGGAUAAUAUAUUUGAGAGGCAUCUCUUAAAUAUCAAAGGUGAGCCAGUACAGGAUGGACCCGCGUCUGAUUAGCUAGUUGGUAAGGUAACGGCUUACCAAGGCGACGAUCAGUAGCCGACCUGAGAGGGUGAUCGGCCACAUUGGAACUGAGACACGGUCCAAACUCCUACGGGAGGCAGCAGUGGGGAAUAUUGCACAAUGGGCGAAAGCCUGAUGCAGCAACGCCGCGUGAGUGAUGAAGGCCUUCGGGUCGUAAAACUCUGUCCUCAAGGAAGAUAAUGACGGUACUUGAGGAGGAAGCCCCGGCUAACUACGUGCCAGCAGCCGCGGUAAUACGUAGGGGGCUAGCGUUAUCCGGAUUUACUGGGCGUAA
Molecule: ribosomal RNA, 537 nt
Filed under: Clostridioides difficile
Lineage: Bacteria; Bacillati; Bacillota; Clostridia; Peptostreptococcales; Peptostreptococcaceae
Description: bacterial SSU rRNA
Rfam family: Bacterial small subunit ribosomal RNA
Source: RNAcentral